UUCAGGAAAACAUGUUGUUUUCAGAACUAUAUAAAGUAGAAAAGGUCCAAACUGGACCACUUGAAGGGUUUUCACAGGUCACAGCACAAAUACAGAUUAUUAGCUUAUGUAUGUAUGUAUGUAAAUAAUAUUCUGGAAUAUUACAUUAUGUUCCUUUAGAAACAGGAUGUUUUGGUCCUUCAGUAAGAGCUAAUUCUAAAAUUGUACUUUUAAAAUAUAAUUAUUUAUUAUUAGAUCUUGGCAAGGCGUGGAUGUGACUUUGUGGUGCAGCACACUCCAGACCUGCACAGAGAGCUGAGGGGAAUGUCUACACAUGAUGCUUCUCUGCUCUUUAUCGAGGAGGCCUGUAGCCUGAGCGAUGUGCCUCUCACGUUCUACAGCAUGAGCAAGGCUUUGAAGAAGGGAUGCUGGCAACACAGCGCACCACUAAAGCAUUCCGCGAGAGAAUACCAGUGCACUCAUAUUUCAUGCAGAUGCAGGUUCCAUUGCAGAUGUUGAGAGGACCCUCACAUUCCCUGCAGGUCAACAAAGCAAUGUAAUCUAUUAAAUAAUAUAUUUCAGCUAAAUUAAGUGAUAAGAUACACUUUCAUCUUUUUAUGUGCAAAAUAUCUCAUGUACCUGGACAUGUCACUCAUUCACUCACUCACAAACACUCAGUCAUUCAAACUCACACUUACUCAUUUGCACUCAAACUCACUCACCUACUCACCUUCACUUACAGGUGCAUCUCAAAAAUGAGAAUAUCAUGGAAAAGUACAUUUUCCCCCAUAAUUUAAUUCAAAAAGUGGAACUUUUAUAUAUUCUAGAUUCAUUACACAUAAAGAGAAAAUUUUCAAGCCUUUUUUUUUUGUUGUUUUAAUCGAUGAUUACAGCUUACACAUGGAAAUAAAAAUCCAGUAUCUCAAAAUAUUAGAAUAAAGAAUUUAUAAUAUAGAAAUUUCGACCUUCGGAAAGUAUGUUCAUUUAUGCACUCAAUACUUGGUCCUUUUUCACAAGCAGCAAAAGUGGUGCUAAUGCAAUCAGGAACUUUCAACUGUAUGAGUGUCUGAUGUCUUUCUGCUUCUGCAUUUCUUUUCCUUACUUCUCUCUCUAGAAAUCUCUGUGACAAAAGCUGCCCAAUGAAUCUCCUUGCGUUGAAACAAUAUAGACACACGUCCAAUUCCUGGUUGAUUCGUAACAUUUCCAGUUGACUGGAAGUUCUUAAUUAUUGCCCUAUUGUGGAAAUACACAUUUUCAAUUCUUGUUCGGUUUUCUUACAGCCACUUCUCAUUUUGUGACACGCGACAACCUUUUGUCGCACAUCACAGGUAUAUUCCUUGAUCUUACCCAUUGUUAUGAAUGAUCAAGGGAAUCUGGCCUAUGUGCUAUUUCAUAUCACCCCUCUGAAACAGGAAGUCAUGGUUGAACAAUUUCCUGUUCUUAGUCACCAAGAUGUACUAAAAGAAAAUAAAAUAUCAAAGUGAAUCCUUGUACACCUAUAUGUAACAAAUAAAUAAAUAAAUAAAUAAAUAAAUAAAUAAAUAAAUAUAUAUAAUAAACCUGUGUUUUGUUUG
This is a long non-coding RNA of Ictalurus punctatus (channel catfish), 1553 nucleotides long. RefSeq lists it as uncharacterized. The record is from RefSeq and is a predicted model, not a curated record. NCBI's taxonomy places the organism in Eukaryota, Metazoa, Chordata, Actinopteri, Siluriformes, Ictaluridae. The transcript has 3 exons.